GGCGGCAGCUGGUGGCCCGGCGGGGCACCGCCACCCUCGGCCGCAUCGCGCCGGCCAUGGAUCCCUUCCCCAAGGACGGCGAGAGCGCGGCGGGCGGGGAGCCCAGCCGGGGCGCGGCCCCCUCCAGCGGGGUGGUGGUGCAGGUCCGGGAGAAGAAGGGCCCCCUGCGCGCCGCCAUCCCCUACAUGCCGUUCCCCGUGGCUGUCAUCUGCCUCUUCCUCAACACCUUCGUACCGGGGCUGGGCUACAAGGAACAGGGGAUCCCACAGCAGCUGUAGUGGCUGGGACAAGUAUGGUCAGAGAAACACGGCGAGAGAUUUCCUUUGGCAGCUCUGGGCCACGGACCUUUUCAUUACCCUUUGUCUUUCUUCUUCUUCUUCUUCCUUUUGUUUUGUUUUGUUCUGUUUGAACCUGGUCCAUCUGCCCAUCCAGCGGAGCGGAGGUGCAGAGCAGCCGACGGAGACUUGCACUGAUCCCAUUGAGCAGCAGAGAUGGGGCAAGCACAGCGUGGGGUAGGACUGGUCCUGGCCAGCACACGAUGGGCAGCUGAUGAGGAGGAUGGUGCCAGGAGAAGGAAACACCCUUGGCAAAGGUGGCAUCCAUGCAGGCAGCUGAGCCAGGGGAGCAGGAGAUGCUGCUUUCCUCCCUCUUCCCAGGAGGGAGUAGCUGAAGAUGCUUUGCCUCCUUUUUAUGCUCACUGUUAAAGGAAACUGGCUGUGGACAUCAAAUGCCAAGGAGCUAUUAACAGAUACAUCUACAGUAUAUAAAAGCAAACCAGUUGUACUUUUCCCCACUCUGAGAGUCCAUCCUUGACUGCUUCGUUGUAGCAGAGGGCUCAGCCCAGCCUCCCCUGCUCACUGUGUAUAUAUGAUGCUCAAUGAAGCUCUGUCUGUGCAGAUAUCUUGAGAAACGUGCUUGCUGUAAAUCAUGCUGUACUGAUAAAUGGACCGAGACCAUCCCCUACUUCCAUCCACUGGCACUAUGUGAAGACCAGACCUCCCACCAGCCCUGAGGGGACGUUAUCUAGCAACGGACCAGUGCCCUGCAGCACCUUGACUCUAGAUGCUUGCCAAAGGCUUCUACUGUAAAACAAUACUGGGGGAGCCAAAAGACGACUUUUUCUCCUUUCCCCUGAAAGGGACUUGCUGGCAGUGUUUCCGUGCUUUGGAAGUGGAUCCCCUUACAGCUCGGCAUGUGUUCCUGGCUGGAGCAGCAUCCCUGCUCUGCUUCUCCAGAGGCCAAAUUCACCACCCAGCGCUUUCAUGCCUCUUGCUGGAGCACCACAGGGAAAAGUCAUCUCCUCCAGGACACCCACCAACACCAGGGCUGGAUAACUCACCUCCCACUUGCAGGAGCUGUGCCAUGUCAUCCACCAGUGCCCGCUGUGCCACACCACCACUGCAAACCAACCCAUCUGCGUGCUGGCAUAGCAAGAGGUCACAGCCAGUGAACGCUUGGUCUGCUUGAAGGCACCUGGCAAUCCCAGCAUCAUCAUCUGCUUUAUAAAUAUAGAUGUUUUAGAUGCAAGUUUUACAGCUAAAAGAGUGAUAGUGGGUAAUGAAGAAUAAAUGCAGUUGCUUCACCCCCAUCUGCCAACACCACAGUGUUUUCUGCUGCUCUUUCCCAUUGUGAAAACCUAAAAAAAAAAAAAAAAAA
Molecule: long non-coding RNA, 1656 nt
Filed under: Strigops habroptila (Kakapo)
Lineage: Eukaryota; Metazoa; Chordata; Aves; Psittaciformes; Psittacidae
Description: lncRNA (ENSSHBG00005019895.1)
Source: RNAcentral